CUCCCUCUAAAAGCACUCUGUGUGGGGAACAUGAGAGCCAGACCAAAGCUCAGAGGAACCCACCUGCACCUCCACCCAGCUCUGUGUCCUUACACAGUGACACGUCUAAAGAUGCCAUCAUUGAUUUUAAAGUCCAGCCUGUGUCUGCUGCAGAGAGAGUGGAAGAGGAUAGCUCAGAGGUUCCCAGUGGUCAGUCUGCCCAGC
Molecule: long non-coding RNA, 204 nt
Organism: Oreochromis niloticus (Nile tilapia)
Lineage: Eukaryota; Metazoa; Chordata; Actinopteri; Cichliformes; Cichlidae
Exons: 3
Source: RefSeq, a predicted model, not a curated record